UCUUGCCCUACUGGAACCCUUUGGCCGCCUUCUCACACACCCAUUUCUUUUAAUACAUCACCAAAUGCCUGAAACACACACUUCAUCCAUCGAUUUGCUCAUUCGUUCUAAACACACACUUCCCGCAUAGAUUUCCUUGAAGGUAAUGGGAUAAGCGAUGAACAGUAAUCCUCGUCCACAUUGCAGCGAUGUUGACAAGUGGGUUGUGGUGAUGGAAGCCUGCCGACGAUAGAAGAGAGAAAAGAGAAAGAUGCAUCUUCGGUUUGAUUCAAUGGAUUCUUCAAAGACAAAAUAGAGAGAGGCAAAAUACGGUGAAGGGUACGAUAAAAAUUCAUAUUACAGUGGAAGAUAUAUUUAGGUUUUGAGAUCGAUUUAAGAUUUGCAAAAAUCAAGAAAAAAUUUCAGGCUCAACAUUAGUUUAUUUUUUUCUCGCUCUAUCUCUUGUUUUACCGGAGAAUGGCAUGAGAUCCACCGCCAUUCUGCCGAAGUCCACCACCACCGCCACUCCACCACCCACCACACUCCUCACCUUAAACCUCAAUCUGCCCUUUUUCACCGUCUGAUUCCACCCAUGAUAUCCAAUCUAAAUGCACCAUCUUCGACUCCAUAUGUUAUGGGUAAACCACUUUAAUUGCUCUGGUUUGUUCCUUCCAGAAAAUCUCAAAAAUUGCAACCCCAAUUUAAGUUUUCGUUUGGGAUACACAUAAGAGAUCAGACAAGUAAGCGAGGGGGUAGGAUUUGAGGUAAUUACAACUGCUUCACUUUUGGUUUAAGAAUUCCUUCAUGUUGUUAGCGUACAUUUUGAUUUAAGGAUUUUUAAUUAGGUUUGAUUUCAUCCCCGACUAAUUGUAUUGAUUUUUCUCUAAUCUUGAUAGAUUGGAGAAGAUGAACCAAGAGAAGAUUGAUGGGUUGCUUUGAUAUUUGAUUCUGAUUUUGGGUAUUAUUGUUAGAAGACUGUAUUUGUGUUUUUGUUAGUAGACUGCAUUUAAUCGAUUAUAUAUGGGUUCUUUUUGUAAUUAGAUCCAUCAAGUUUAUGUUUACUUGUUCAUGAAUUGCUCUCAUAAGAUAAAGGACUGAUGAGUUGCAGGUAAAAUGAAUGAACUAAUGUGUUGAAACCUUGGAGGGAAUAUUGUUUUACCGGAGAAGGAUUGAGUGGUCCGGUGAGGUAUUUCCGAUAAGGAUAUAUGAAGGAGUUGGGAAGGAAGUAGUUGUGGGACCCAUCUCUUUUUAAUAAUAAAUAUUAAUAAUUAUUUAAAUAAUGAAAAAUAAAAAAAGAAAUGGAAAAGGGCAGUAUAGUCUUUUCAAGUCUAGUGAGGACUAAGCGCACAACAAAAAGAAACAAUAGAGACGGUCCAAGUUAAAAAAAGUUUUUUAAGGACCAAACGUGCAGAUUCCCCCAAAC
This 1402-nucleotide long non-coding RNA is filed under the name Lactuca sativa (garden lettuce). RNAcentral describes it as "long non-coding RNA (LSAT_LNC002090)". The record is from RNAcentral. Lineage: Eukaryota; Viridiplantae; Streptophyta; Magnoliopsida; Asterales; Asteraceae.